GCAAUAUAUUAUGCAACAAGUGGUGACUCCUAGGAGACUUCCAGCAGAUCUUUUCUUUCCUUGGUUCAGAAGCAGCUCAUCCUAACAGUUUCUCGUCAGUGUUCUUUAUUUGAAAAAGGAAUUUCUACUUGUUUUGGAUGAAGUAAAAAUAUCUGAGACUUGCUUUGAGAGAGAAAUCACAACUAGGCAGAGAGGCAGGCAGAGAGAGAAGGAAGCAGGUUCCCUGCUGAGCAGAGAGCCCGAUGCGGGGCUCGAUCCCAGGACCCUGNNNNNNNNN
RNAcentral lists this long non-coding RNA (277 nucleotides) under Mustela putorius furo (domestic ferret). RNAcentral describes it as "lncRNA (ENSMPUG00000024985.1)". Lineage: Eukaryota; Metazoa; Chordata; Mammalia; Carnivora; Mustelidae. The record is from RNAcentral.